UAAGGAAUAUUGGUCAAUGGACGCAAGUCUGAACCAGCCAUGCCGCGUGAAGGAUGAAGGUCCUCUGGAUUGUAAACUUCUUUUAUCUGGGACGAAAACGGGAUUUUUAUCUCAAUUGACGGUACCAGAGGAAUAAGCACCGGCUAACUCCGUGCCAGCAGCCGCGGUAAUACGGAGGGUGCGAGCGUUAUCCGGAUUUACUGGGUUUAAAGGGUGCGUAGGUGGGCUUAUAAGUCAGUGGUGGAAUCUCCGAGCUUAACUUGGAAACUGCCGUUGNUACUAUAGGUCUUGAAUUAUCUGGAGGUAAGCGGAAUAUGUCAUGUAGCGGUGAAAUGCUUAGAUAUGACAUAGAACACCAAUUGCGAAGGCAGCUUACUACAUAUAAAUUGACGCUGAGGCACGAAAGCGUGGGGAUCAAACA
RNAcentral lists this ribosomal RNA (421 nucleotides) under uncultured bacterium. RNAcentral's name for it is "bacterial SSU rRNA". It matches the Rfam family "Bacterial small subunit ribosomal RNA", at positions 355 to 774 of the family's 1533-position model. The record is from RNAcentral.